Molecule: ribosomal RNA, 510 nt
Filed under: Triticum aestivum (bread wheat)
Lineage: Eukaryota; Viridiplantae; Streptophyta; Magnoliopsida; Poales; Poaceae
Description: partial small subunit ribosomal RNA
Source: RNAcentral
AUGUGUGUACUACAUCAUGGGCCCCCCUCCGGCCUGGGCCCUGGGCCGUUGCCCCUCUGGCCAUGCCCCAGGGCCGGCCCUGGCAACGGCUGGCUCCUCGCCGCAUUGCCCUACUCUGUCGCCACCGUCGCGCUGCCAUUCCCACCCGCGCCCUUCCUCCCGGCCGGGUGCGGCAAGAACACGAAGGACCUCCAGGUGGACCUCUUCUCGCCGCUCAUGGCGUCCCUGGUGGCCUUCUCGGCGCCACUCCUCUUCUGGUGCAAGGCUCAGCCCCACGCUGUCACGGCCAUUGUCUCCGAUCUGUUCAAGGGGUGGACGCUUUCGCUCGCCCAGCAGCUCGGCAUGCCGCAUGUAGCGUUCUUGCCCGCUAGCGCCCACCAUCUCACCACCACUCGCUCACUCUGUCGUCGCAUGUCGACGGGGCACGACUGGGUGGUUGACUUCCCGAAGCUUCUCGGCUCGCCUAGCUUCCCCUGGCACCUCCUGUCGUGGCUGUUCCGAUGCAUGUAG